AUUGAACGCUGGCGGCAGGCCUAACACAUGCAAGUCGAGCGGAUGAAGGGAGCUUGCUCCUGGAUUCAGCGGCGGACGGGUGAGUAAUGCCUAGGAAUCUGCCUGGUAGUGGGGGAUAACGUCCGGAAACGGGCGCUAAUACCGCAUACGUCCUGAGGGAGAAAGUGGGGGAUCUUCGGACCUCACGCUAUCAGAUGAGCCUAGGUCGGAUUAGCUAGUUGGUGGGGUAAAGGCCUACCAAGGCGACGAUCCGUAACUGGUCUGAGAGGAUGAUCAGUCACACUGGAACUGAGACACGGUCCAGACUCCUACGGGAGGCAGCAGUGGGGAAUAUUGGACAAUGGGCGAAAGCCUAAUCCAGCCAUGCCGCGUGUGUGAAGAAGGUCUUCGGGUUGUAAAGCACUUUAAGUUGGGAGGAAGGGCAGUAAGUUAAUACCUUGCUGUUUUGACGUUACCAACAGAAUAAGCACCGGCUAACUUCGUG
Molecule: ribosomal RNA, 484 nt
Filed under: uncultured bacterium
Lineage: Bacteria
Description: partial 16S ribosomal RNA
Rfam family: Bacterial small subunit ribosomal RNA
Source: RNAcentral